AGAGUUUGAUCAUGGCUCAGAUUGAACGCUGGCGGCAGGCUUAACACAUGCAAGUCGAGCGAGAAAGUACCUUCGGGUGCGAGUAAAGCGGCGGACGGGUGAGUAACGCGUAGGAAUCUACCUGGUAGUGGGGGACAACAUGUGGAAACGCAUGCUAAUACCGCAUACGCCCUACGGGGGAAAGCGGGGGACCUUCGGGCCUCGCGCUAUCAGAUGAGCCUGCGUUAGAUUAGCUAGUUGGUAGGGUAAAGGCCUACCAAGGCGACGAUCUAUAGCUGGUCUGAGAGGAUGAUCAGCCACACUGGAACUGAGACACGGUCCAGACUCCUACGGGAGGCAGCAGUGGGGAAUAUUGCGCAAUGGGGGAAACCCUGACGCAGCCAUGCCGCGUGUGUGAAGAAGGCCUUAGGGUUGUAAAGUACUUUCAG
RNAcentral lists this ribosomal RNA (428 nucleotides) under uncultured bacterium. RNAcentral describes it as "bacterial SSU rRNA". It matches the Rfam family "Bacterial small subunit ribosomal RNA", at positions 8 to 439 of the family's 1533-position model. The record is from RNAcentral.